GUCUACGGCCAUACCACCCUGAACAUGCCCGAUCUUGUCUGAUCUCGGAAGCUAAGCAGGGUUAGGCCUGGUUAGUAUUUGGAUGGGAGGUAAUGUCAAAACAGAGAGCACAUACUUUAUACC
Molecule: non-coding RNA, 123 nt
Organism: Erinaceus europaeus (western European hedgehog)
Lineage: Eukaryota; Metazoa; Chordata; Mammalia; Eulipotyphla; Erinaceidae
Source: Rfam